CGGACGGGUGAGUAACGCGUGAGAAUCUGGCUUCAGGUCUGGGACAACCACUGGAAACGGUGGCUAAUACCGGAUGUGCCGAGAGGUGAAAGGUUAACUGCCUAAAGAUGAGCUCGCGUCUGAUUAGCUAGUUGGCAGUGUAAUGGACUACCAAGGCGACGAUCAGUAGCUGGUCUGAGAGGACGAUCAGCCACACUGGGACUGAGACACGGCCCAGACUCCUACGGGAGGCAGCAGUGGGGAAUUUUCCGCAAUGGGCGAAAGCCUGACGGAGCAAUACCGCGUGAGGGAGGAAGGCUCUUGGGUCGUAAACCUCUUUUCUCAGGGAAGAACACAAUGACGGUACCUGAGGAAUAAGCAUCGGCUAACUCCGUGCCAGCAGCCGCGGUAAUACGGAGGAUGCAAGCGUUAUCCGGAAUGAUUGGGCGUAAAGCGUCCGCAGGUGGCAAUGUAAGUCUGCUGUUAAAGAGUCUAGCUCAACUAGAUAAGAGCAGUGGAAACUACAUAGCUAGAGUACGUUCGGGGCAGAGGGAAUUCCUGGUGUAGCGGUGAAAUGCGUAGAGAUCAGGAAGAACACCAGUGGCGAAGGCGCUCUGCUAGGCCGUAACUGACACUGAGGGACGAAAGCUAGGGGAGCGAAUGGGAUUAGAUACCCCAGUAGUC
Molecule: ribosomal RNA, 663 nt
Filed under: uncultured cyanobacterium
Lineage: Bacteria; Bacillati; Cyanobacteriota
Description: bacterial SSU rRNA
Rfam family: Bacterial small subunit ribosomal RNA
Source: RNAcentral